UACAGGCUUUAGCUUGCAACUUGAAACUUAGUGUAGGACUAAUAGUGAAAGUGAAGCAAGAAAUACAUGUAAAAAAAAAAAAUUGCUAACCCUUGUAACUUCCUUUAACCCUUGUAACUUCCUUUACUCUUUUGCUUAUACUUUACAUUAUUGAAUCUAUUAUGUUAUAUCAGUGAAAUUUUAGGCUAUCCCUCUUACAAAAAAGAUAGGCUAACCUAAAAUUUCACUGAUAUAACAUAAUAG
Molecule: unclassified non-coding RNA, 243 nt
Filed under: Hevea brasiliensis (rubber tree)
Lineage: Eukaryota; Viridiplantae; Streptophyta; Magnoliopsida; Malpighiales; Euphorbiaceae
Source: RNAcentral